This 228-nucleotide long non-coding RNA is filed under the name Propithecus coquereli (Coquerel's sifaka). RNAcentral describes it as "Disrupted in schizophrenia 2 conserved region (ENSPCOG00000006779.1)". It matches the Rfam family "Disrupted in schizophrenia 2 conserved region". Lineage: Eukaryota; Metazoa; Chordata; Mammalia; Primates; Indriidae. The record is from RNAcentral.
AAUCUAUUUCCUAAGGCUGUGAUGAGAUUUAAAGGACAGAAGGUUUAAAUCUAUUAUUAUUAGUAGUAGUAGUAGCUAUUAUUGUGAUUAUGGUUACAGUAAAUUCUUAGAAAACAUAGUGGAGCCUUUUAGUAACAGUAACUGUUAUUUAUGGGGCACUCUUUACUGUGAUACAUUUAUUAAUUUAUGGUUUAAUUUUCAUAUAUACAUUUUCCCAAUUUUUUACCC